GACGCCCAAACAGAAACGGGAAUAAGAGGUUUGAGCCUGAUCUUAUGGAGGGAAAAGCUAUUCUUCUUUGCCUUAUGGUGCUUGUGCAGCUAGGAAAUUCCGUUCAUGUUGACAAAUGUAGGGCGGUAAUUGCCUUUUCAGGCACCACAUGCAUUGAACUAUCUUGCAUAUUGGCCUGCCAGAAGUCCUUCGGAGAUCACGCCAUAAACUCGGCAUGUAGGCUCGUUGGCCUAGCCACUCUGAAUUGUUACUGCAAGGUCUGUUUCUAGAGUUGCACUAAACCAUUGUACGUAUCAAAUAAUGGAUAAUGAUGAGAUCCAGCAAUAAAAUCCUCUUUGUGACAUGCA
Molecule: long non-coding RNA, 347 nt
Organism: Triticum aestivum (bread wheat)
Lineage: Eukaryota; Viridiplantae; Streptophyta; Magnoliopsida; Poales; Poaceae
Exons: 2
Source: RefSeq, a predicted model, not a curated record